AUGAAAUUAAAAUUAUUAAAUAUAAUUUUAUCAAUAAUAAAUAAACUUAAUAAUAAUAAUAAUAUUAUUAUUAAUAAUCUAUUAGAUUCAUUAAUAAAUAAGAAAUUAUUAUUAAAGAAUAUAUUAUUAGAUAUAAAUAAUAAAAAAAUAAAUAAUAUAAAAAGAAUAUUAAAUAAUAAUAAUAUAAAUAUUAAUAAUAAAUUACAACAUUUAAAUAAUAUAAAUAAUUGAAAUCUACAAAUUUAUAAUUAUAAUAAAAAUAUAGAAAUUAUAAAUACUAUAAAUGAUAAAUUAAUUAAUAAAUUAUUAUAUAAAAUAAUAACUUUAAAAUUAAAUAAUAUAAAUAUUAAUAAAAUUAUUAUAAGUAAACUUAUUAAUCAACAUAGUUUAAAUAAAUUAAAUAUUAAAUUUUAUUAUUAUAAUAAUGAUAUUAAUAAUAAUAAUAAUAAUAAUAAUAAUAAUAAUAAUUAUUAUAUAAAUAUAAUAAAUAAAUUAAUAAAUAUUAUAAAUAAUAAUAUAAAUAAUAAUUUAUGUAAUAUUUUAAGUUAUUAUUAUAAUAAAAAAGUAACUAUUGAACCUAUUAAAUUAUCAUAUAUUUAUUUAAAUAGUGAUAUUUUUAGUAAAUAUAUUAGUUUAAAUGAUAUAGAUAAAUAUAAUAAUGGUAUCUUAACUAAUUAUCAACGUAUAUUAAAUAAUAUUAUGCCUAAAUUAAAUGAUCAUAAUAUUUCUAUAAAUUAUAUUAAUAAUAUUAAUAAUAUUAAUAAUAAUAAAUAUAAUAAUAUAAUUAAUUUAUUAAAUAAUAAUAAUAAUAAUAAUAAUAAUAAUAAUAUUAAUAAUAAUAAUAAUUAUAAUAAUAAUAAUAAUAAUUAUAUUGGUAAUAUUAAUAAUAUUUAUAAUAAUAUAACUAUUGAUAAUAUUCCUAUAGAUAUUUUAAUAUAUAAAUAUUUAGUUGGUUGAUCUAUUAAAUUUAAAGGUAGAUUAAGUAAUAAUAAUGGUAGAACUAGUACACUUAAUUUAUUAAAUGGUACUUUUAAUAAUAAAAAAUAUUUAUGAAGUAAUAUUAAUAAUAAUUAUAAAUUAAAUUAUAUCCCUUCUAAUCAUAAUUUAUAUAAUAAUUCUAAUAUUAAUAAAAAUGGUAAAUAUAAUAUUAAAGUUAAAUUAAACUUUAUUUAA
RNAcentral lists this ribosomal RNA (1173 nucleotides) under Saccharomyces cerevisiae (brewer's yeast). Lineage: Eukaryota; Fungi; Ascomycota; Saccharomycetes; Saccharomycetales; Saccharomycetaceae. The record is from RNAcentral.